RNAcentral lists this long non-coding RNA (5436 nucleotides) under Populus tremula. Its description in RNAcentral is "long non-coding RNA (PTRE_LNC001519)". The stretch from base 255 to 353 matches the Rfam family "Small nucleolar RNA Z43". The record is from RNAcentral. Lineage: Eukaryota; Viridiplantae; Streptophyta; Magnoliopsida; Malpighiales; Salicaceae.
GAUUAUACAAAACCAUUUAGUCUUUCGCUCCUAUCUGAUGACCUCGUUGAAAUAUUUGUCCUUUAUUUUUAAUCACCCGUUUUCGUCAUUUAGAGUGUUUUAUCUUAAUUUCUUCGACUUUUUAUGGCGAGCUUGAUUUUAGAUUUUGAUUCAGACAAGCGUGUCUGGCAUCUUUUGUGUCGAAAGACCAAAUUUGAUUUCCGUUAGAGGCUUCUUAGCUGGUCUCUGAAAAUAUUUCCAAGUAAAAAAGGGAGGGACAAUGAUGAUUUGUAUCAAUGGUCUCGUUCGUCGUAAUUGGCUCUUUAAUGGCCUUGCCGACCAUCCUGAUAUAUCACCACCCAUAUUCUGAGUCCCAUCCGAAUAAUGACUUCAAAAAGAGUUUGUUCUUUUUUUAUAUAAACAAACCCAUUUAGAAGAACAUCACCCAUUUAGAAGGAUCGUCAUUGUGCCAGGAAGGAAUAGACUCUUCUUAUAAAGAGCCAUAUGGCAACACACUAAUAGUGAGAUAGAGGUUGAGAAGGUCCGAUCUCGGCAUGAAAAGAAAUAUCACACUGGCAGAGUUGUCAUGAUGAUCCCCAGCUAGUAAUUGACACAUGGCGACCUUGCAGGCCUUACAUCAUCAAGCUACAAUGACAUCUCGAAAAGCUCAAGGAUUAUGAAACUUUAUUUCGAAUGUUGCAAACAAGAGAACAUAAGAUUAUGCAGAAUACUUAAGAGAAUAGGAUGAGUUUCCGGCCAGGAGAGAAAAAGAAAGUUAUCUUUGCACUGAAAUUACACUUGCCAAAUUAUGAAAUCUUAGUUCUGUAAUUUUUAUAUUCAUGCAUUCAUUUUUUAUAUUUUUUAAUUAUAACAAAUAAAAUAGAAAUUGAACUAAUAAUGAAGAGUAAGUUUUAAAUAUUUUUUAUACGAAACAAUAUUAAGAAGCCUGACAAAUUUUAUGAAAAAAUCAACUAGGAAAUAAAGUGUUUAUUACUUGGACUAAGGAAGAAAUACAAUAUUUAAGUAUGGUUUGGUACUUGAGGUGUAAAUGCAGGCUUGUCGAAUCAUAUUAAAAAACUAGUUGCAAAUUCUCUUCAUUAUCUUAUUUUUUAAGUAUUGUAAUUAUAUUAUUGUUUAUUGAAUUUACUUGAAAUAAUUUGAAUUAAUUAUCCAAUUUAGUAAUACAUUUAAUUCAACUUCCUUUUAGAUGUUAAGUUGUCUUAAUCAUUGAAUAACAAUUGAUAUCAGAGCUUAGUUCUUAUAUAUAAAGUUUGCUUAGACUUUUAGACCCAUUAGAACUAUAAGUAUAAGUCGUAAUAGAUAGAUGUUUGUAAUUGUUGAUGACUUUACAAGAUAUACUUGGGUUUUGUUAUUGAAAUCUAAAGAUGCAAAACUUGUGAAUUUGAAAAGUUUUCAAAAAAAGUUGAGAAUAAAAAGGUUUUUUUCAUAAUAAAUAUAAGAAGUGAUUAUGAUGAUUAAUUUAUAAGUUAUUUGUUUAAAACGUUCUGAGAAGGAAAAUGAUUCCAUCAUCACUUUUCAAAUCCAAAACUCUUAAACAAAAUAGGGUUAUGGAAAGGAAAAAUCGGUUUUUUCAAGAAAUGGCAAGAACUAUAUUAAAUGAAUUGACACAUCCAAAUGUUUUUUGGUAGAAGCCACAAACACUUCUUUCUAUGUUUUAAACUGUGAUACUUUGAGACUAGAGUUGAAAAGGACCCAUUAUAAGCUUUGAGGAGAAAGAAAACUCAACAUCUCAUAUUUUAAGGUUUUUUGUUCAAGAUGCUUUAUUCUCAAUACUGAAAAUAAUUUAGAUAAAUUUAGUUAAAAUCCGAUUAUGGAAUUUUUCUUGACUAUUUCUCCUUUAGCAAAGUAUAUAGAGUUUAUAAUAAUAGAACAAUUUGUCUUGAGGAUCCUAUACAUGUCGCUUUUGAGAAAACUCAAAACAACAAGAUUGUUGAAAUUCUUGAUGACAUAAUAAAAGUGUUCAAUAUUUAAGUCUUGAUGAUAAGACUCUAUGAAGGCAAACAAUAAAGUAAUGGACAAAGACUAGUUAAGCUCAAGCAAUCAGGAAGAGAUAGUAAGUAACUCCUUUACACCACCAAAUAAGCUAAGGUAUGUAAGUUCUUACCCUUCCAAAUUAAUUAUUGAUAAUCCUUUUGGAUGAACUAGGACUAAAGCUUCACUUAGAAAUAUUAGCGGUCACUUUGCUUUUGUUUCUUAAAUAGAACCUAAAUAAUUUCUAGAAGCCGAUAAUGAUGAAAAAUGGAUUUUGGCUAUACAUGAUGAGCUAAAUCAAUUUGAAAGAAUGAUGUCUGGGAACUAAUCCCUAUACCUAAUAAUCAAUCUAUAAUUGGAACAAAAUGAGUGUUCAAGAACAAAGUUGAUGAACAUGGAACAAUAGCUAGAAACAAAGUUAAAUUAGUUGCUAAAGGUUUUAAUAAAGAAGAAUGUCUAGAUUGUGAAGGAACCUUUGCAUUGAGUGUAUUUUUAAAUGGAUUUACCAUGGAAAUCUAUGUAGAGCAACCACAAAGUUUUGAAAUUUUUUAUUUUUUCAAUAAUGUUUUCAAACUUAAAAAGAUUUUGUAUAGUUUAAAACUAACACCUAAGACAUCGUAUGAUAGACUCAAAUCUUUUCUUAUUAACAAUGCGCUUAAUAUUGAUAAAAUUAACAUUGUUUUUUUUUCUUACAAAAAAAAAAGGAAAAGAUAUCUUAAUCGUAUAAAUUUAUGUUGAUGAUAUUAUAUUUGGUAUUACUAAUAAAUAUCUUUGUAAGGAUUUUGUAAAGUGCAUGCAAGAUGAAUAUAAAAUUAGCUUGAUGGGAGAGUUGAUUCUUCGUUGGAUUACAAAUCAAAGUGUUGAUUUCCUAGGUUGUCUAGACUCUAGCAUGGCAUUGGACCAAACUUGAGAAACUCCUUCUUUUCUUUAGCUAUAAAGACUAAUUUAGAGGUGGAUUUAGUUGGUGUUUCUAUUAGGAGUUAGUUGUUAGCCUUCUCUUACAUGUGAAAAAAAAAACUGUAGAUUGGAAAGGAAAACUUAUGAGAAUUUCCUUUUUUAUUCUUGAAUCAAUUACUUUAGUGUCACUUCAAUUGCUAGAACCAAAGUGAUAUUCCAUAGUACAAAUAUCUUUGUAAAUCUUGUCAUGUUAAUGCAGAAAGUAAAGAUGGGAGAAGAGAAAGAGAGAAAAUUAUAUUAUUUUAAUAAUGAAAACUCAUUUUUUUUUCUUCAUAUGAUUAUGUCCUUUAUAUAUGAUUAGAGGCGACGGUUACUUCAUUUAGUAAAUACUCUAAUAACUUGGACCAGGCCUAUUCAUCAUGGACGGACCAAGCCUAACCCAAUAACCAACAAAAACAAAAAGAAAUCAUUUAAUGGCCUGUAUCUAUAUGUAAAUCAUUUUCCCUGCUAUUUAUUUAAAUUCAAUUCAAUUAAAUAAAUGGCACAACAUUACCAUGCAUGGCUUAAUAUGUUUCCACAUGUAGUAAACAAUCCUUUUUCUUGAUUUUAAUGGUAAAAGAAUUUAUGAUGACUUCCAUGCACUAAGGUUAUAUCCUUCAUCAAUUAGAUCUUAAAUUAUACAUUUAUAUGUGAAUUAGUAUACUAGAAAAGUUAUUUUAUUGUAUCUUGCUUAAGGAUUGGAAUGACAUGCAAUAAAAAAGAAAAAAAACAUUGUUUUAGGCCCUUGUUUUAAACUAUUUUUUCACACAAAACCUUUUUUUAUGCUUGAUUAGUAAAUGAUCUAGGAUUUAUUUACUUCAAUAAAAACAUGCAUAUGAUUUCAGUCCAAAGCUCACUUUAAAUUUGUUUAAUACUAAAAGAUGUAAAAAGUUAUAUCUAACAAACUCCAAUUUCAAAUAGGUGAAUCCAGCACAUGCAUGCAACUUAAGCCUCUUUAUCCAUGUUAUUUUCUCAAUACAAAUUUCGGUACUUUGGGGGUCUAUUUUUAAUUCUUGAACUUCUUAUUAUACAAGCUAAAUAAAAAUACAUUAAAGUCUUAUAUUUUUUCAAUGUAAGAUAAAUAAUUUUGAGUUUUAUAAAACAUGUCAACUAAAAGUGAUAUAAAAUCAGUUUUUUAUUUAUCCAUAAUUUAUUUUAAACAUAUUAAUAUUUUAGGUUAAGAAAAUUGUUGUUGAAAAAUAAUCUACUAAAAUUUCAAUCCUAAAAUAGAGUAGUAACUCAUUUUUAAUUUGUUCCACUAACCCUAUUUUAAAAUUAAUUUUAUAGCAAGAUCAACGACCAUGAUUAUAAUUCCAAGCAGAUCUAAAUGAUACAAUUAUUACUUGAAAAGCAUAUAAAAAUCUGAAAAGGAGUCGAUGGGCCAACAAAUUUCUACUCGACUUAGCCCAAUCUUCCGUUUGUUCUGUGUACCUUAGGCCUUUGGCCGUAAAUUGCACAGAGAAGAGUAAACCUAAAACGCCUGGUCGUUCUUCUGUUCUCGAAAGCUCCUAUAAAACAGCCUAAAACCCUAAUUCUCCUUCAUCGCCACUCUUUAUAAAGAGCCUCCAAGGCAUCCUCUCUGUCCAUAUCUGGUUCUUUCGUGGUUUAGGGUUCAUUUUACUCUGGCUUGUCUCCUUAGGAAUUUCAUCUAUUCAUGUCUUUUUUCUGGCCGAAAUGAUCAAGGGGCAGUGACGAUUUCAUCGUGAAAGGUCUCGUUCGUCGUAACUGGCUCUUUAAGGGCCUUGACGACCAUCCUGAUAUAUCACCACCCAUAUUCCGAGUCCCUUUUUCUUAUUUUCUGCUACUUUCUUUUUCGUCAUGAUAGUUGUUCGGCCGAUGAUUAAACAAAAAUUCAAAGACAAGCAUAUGUCUGAAACUAUGCGUGUUGAUAAAUCUAAUCUUCUCUAUGAGGCCGAAUCUUUUAUGAAUUUCUGUCAGUUUUUCAUAAUCUCUUUUUGAUGCUGUUGCCAUUGAUGAAAGAACUGGUAUAUUUGUCACUAAUGAUGAAGCUGUGAUUACAAACUUACCACUACUGCCUUCCUUCUGAGGCCCUGUUUUUAUAUGAUUUGCAUAAGAUCUUGCUCCCCAAAUUUGGUUUUUGUUUGUCUAUUAGAUCUGUUUUAGAUUGAGAACUUGGUCAUAUGAUGAUUACAAGCAUAGUUCAACUGAAUCUCUGUGAUUAUACAAAACCUUUUAGUCUUUCGCUCCUAUCUGAUGACCUCGUUGAAAUAUUUUCUUCCUUUAUUUUUCAUUACCCGUUUUCGUCAUUUAGAGUGUUUUAUCUUAUUUUCUUCGACUUUUUAUGGAGAGCUUGUGCCCCUUGAUUUUAGAUUUUGAUUCAGCCACACAUGUCUGUCUUAUUAGCUGGUCUCUGAAAAUAUUUCCAAGUAAACAAGGGAGAGGGGCAAUGAUGAUUUGUAUCAAAGGUCUCGUUCGUCGUAAUUGGCUCUUUAAGGGCCUUGCCGACCAUCCUGAUAUAUCACCACCCAUAUUCUGAGUCCUAUCCGAAUAAUGACUUCAAAAAAAGUU